GAGAGGAUAGCAAUAUUGUCUCUGCUUUAAUUUAUCACCACAUUCCUUCUCAUCUCAAGAGAUGCUUUGCUUAUUGUGCCAUAUUCCCAAGAGAUUUACAUAUGUUUGUAAGAGAGCUUUUAAUUUUGUUGUGAAUGGCUGAAAAUUUUAUACAAUGCCCUCAUGAGAGUAUUUAGAUGAUAUAUUAUGUGGGUAUGUUGUUAAACAAUCAAGCAGAGACAAAUGUGUUUAGUCAUGCAUG
This 241-nucleotide microRNA precursor is filed under the name Glycine max (soybean). Its description in RNAcentral is "miR1536 stem-loop (gma-MIR1536)". The record is from miRBase by way of RNAcentral. Lineage: Eukaryota; Viridiplantae; Streptophyta; Magnoliopsida; Fabales; Fabaceae.